RNAcentral lists this ribosomal RNA (381 nucleotides) under Triticum aestivum (bread wheat). Its description in RNAcentral is "partial small subunit ribosomal RNA". The record is from RNAcentral. Lineage: Eukaryota; Viridiplantae; Streptophyta; Magnoliopsida; Poales; Poaceae.
AUGCGAACACCCUUCCCUGGUGCCUCGAUGCCUGACCGCCCCCGCCGGAGACACCCCAUCGCCGUGUCAAUCUCAUCUUUCGGGAUUGGAAUUGACUGGGUCAAGCUUCAUGCCUUCAAAGUAAAAUCUCAACAUGAAAAAAUUCGUCUAGGAGUAUGGCAGGAUACUUUUCCAAGAGCCUCAAUUGCAGGAUGCCGUCAUGAGCACUCUCGACGGUUUUCUGGAAGACUAUCUUGGGAACAAGAAAACUAUCAGGGGUCAGGUCAGGCUUUGCAACCAGCAGAUAUGCACAGUACCGCGAUAAGCUGUUUGCAAUGGUGUAGGACUCCCGAAGCUUGUCAGGCAACUUCCCAUUUGACUUUGAUGAGCAGCUAUUUGUGA